Notothenia coriiceps (black rockcod) is the source of this 1046-nucleotide long non-coding RNA. RefSeq lists it as uncharacterized. The transcript has 5 exons. The record is from RefSeq and is a predicted model, not a curated record. Lineage: Eukaryota; Metazoa; Chordata; Actinopteri; Perciformes; Nototheniidae.
AAACCAUAGAGGGUAAAACACCUGCUAUGACAGGACUGGACAUGCUUAUUGCAGUGGACAACAUAACUGACAGUUUCUUUGAAAAACAGCAGCUGACAAUCUCGUAACGCAUGCGUCUCUUCCUCCUGAAAUGAUCCAAGUUCAAGGUGCUGAUGUUUCAUUGAAGUGAUGCAAGAUACCCCAAGAGCCUGUCGCAGUGCAGUAAGUGGACAUGGCAACACAUAUCUCCAGAUGCUUGCUGUGACCACCCCACCAUACCAGACACACCCCCUCCAGCUUCAGACUCCAUCCACCACCAAAAAUUGAACGCUUCCAGGAGCUCUGAGUCUGUUGGCCAGGUCUGCUCUCCUUCCAUGGGGUCCACCUCAGCCUCCGCCUGCAGACUCUCCCUGCUGGAGGGGUCCGCUUUCAUGAGCACCCUCACUGGGGCCUCCUCCUCGCCUCCAUCCUGUAGGAAACACAGAUGACUGAGGCUUUGCAGGUCUGGUUGCUGUUAAGAUGAGGGGAAGAGGGUCUGAAGGUGCAUCAAUCUGACUGAUCUGAAAGUCUCCAUAUCCAGUGAUGUGCACCAGUCUGUUAACUUGUAGAGGACAACCACGGACGUACCCAGAGACACAGAGUGUGCCCAGGCCAGUGGGUCCACCACCUGUCCCCUCAGCAGGGCUGUUUGCCGUAAAAGACACUUUCUGAGCCAAAAGAUGGGCACGUCUGGAGCGGAAACCGAGCUUUCUCUGUCUCUGAGUGCCCAGGUGUCUGAGAAGUAGAGUGCCAUCCUGCUCCGAAUCCAAAGGGUAGAUACGCUCAUCAGGGAAACGGAUCUCUGUGAUUUUCGACAGAGCUCUCUUGGAAUCAACCUUUUUCUUCACAGGAAGUUCAGACACACCCUGACACACCAGUGCUACACGGGGCAAAUGUAGGAACAGAGAGGAAAACUUAGAAAAUGUACACCAUAAAAAGCUGAAAUAAUGUAUAUAAUGGGCUGCAACAAAAGUCUAUACAAGUGUCAAUAAAGGAGUCUAAACACUUCCGGCAGUGUGUUCAGAUUU